RNAcentral lists this unclassified non-coding RNA (168 nucleotides) under soil metagenome. RNAcentral describes it as "partial internal transcribed spacer 1". The record is from RNAcentral.
CCGAGUACCGGGUCUUCGGGCCCCUACUCCCACCCUUGUGUACCUACCUUCUUUUCGUUGCCUCGGCGGGGUAGAUCCUGACGGCCCACCGGCCGGAGGGGGACCCGCCGGGGGGACACCCUCAAACUCUUGUCAACAGUGACGUCUGAGAACAAAACAAACUAGUCA